This 467-nucleotide ribosomal RNA is filed under the name uncultured bacterium. Its description in RNAcentral is "partial 16S ribosomal RNA". It matches the Rfam family "Bacterial small subunit ribosomal RNA", at positions 28 to 506 of the family's 1533-position model. The record is from RNAcentral.
GACGAACGCUGGCGGCGUGCUUAACACAUGCAAGUCGAACGGAAAGGCCCUGCUUUUGUGGGGUGCUCGAGUGGCGAACGGGUGAGUAACACGUGAGUAACCUGCCCUUGACUUUGGGAUAACUUCAGGAAACUGGGGCUAAUACCGGAUAGGAGCUCCUGCUGCAUGGUGGGGGUUGGAAAGUUUCGGCGGUUGGGGAUGGACUCGCGGCUUAUCAGCUUGUUGGUGGGGUAGUGGCUUACCAAGGCUUUGACGGGUAGCCGGCCUGAGAGGGUGACCGGCCACAUUGGGACUGAGAUACGGCCCAGACUCCUAAGGGAGGCAGCAGUGGGGAAUAUUGCACAAUGGGCGGAAGCCUGAUGCAGCAACGCCGCGUGCGGGAUGACGUCCUUCGGGUUGUAAACCGCUUUCGCCUGUGACGAAGCGUGGGUGACGGUAAUGGGGAAAGAAGCACCGCCUAACUACGU